GUGUGUGUGGGGGAAAGAUGCAAAAACACCACCAAAAAAUGAAAAAUCACAGUUUGUUAGUAAUAAUAUAAUAUGUGGGAUAUAAUGGAGUACCACGUUGCUGUAUAACUGAUUUUACAUUUCUGUCCUUUCAGAACUUUCAAAAGAUUGUGGAAAUUGGGCACCAGCAUCAUUUUCAUCUAGCCAUUAGGUGAAAUAUCAAACCUCCUUACCUGUCCCUGGAAAUAGAUUCUUCGCUCCCACACUAAACUUCUGCAGGAAAAGUAUUAUUGUCCAAGUCAUGAUAACUCAGAAUAAGCAGUGCGUAAGGACAGUCUAAAUCAACUUCCAUUCGCCUGCCGUUCAGCGCUUUGGGACUCUUCGUCAGCAAGCUCCUUCUGACAGCUAUUUAUAGCUCAACAUUUCAGCAAGAUAAUUGCAGUAUUCAGAACAGGAAAAGACUGCUCUGUGAAAUUACAGAACUUCUCUCCUCUGAGUCAAAGGAGAAGUGGGGUUUGGAGGAAGGUGGAAAAGACAUGGAAAAUGUUCUUGGGAAGUCCAACAUCCUGAAGCACUGCAAAAUGAGCUGCAGCUGCUCUCCAAAGCUGAUACAAGGACACAGCAUAUCUCGGCAGCUCUCCAAAGCUCUCCAAAGCUGAUACAAGGACGCAACACAUCUCGGCAACAGAAUGCCAAUGUAAAAGUGACAUAUAUGACCAGCUGUAGUACAGAUCAACCCAGAACUGUGGCCAUUCCACAUGUUUUUUGCAGUAAAUAAAGCUUUCUGUCCCAGCA
RNAcentral lists this long non-coding RNA (774 nucleotides) under Calidris pugnax (ruff). RNAcentral describes it as "lncRNA (ENSCPUG00000012351.1)". Lineage: Eukaryota; Metazoa; Chordata; Aves; Charadriiformes; Scolopacidae. The record is from RNAcentral.